Molecule: ribosomal RNA, 433 nt
Filed under: uncultured bacterium
Lineage: Bacteria
Description: partial 16S ribosomal RNA
Rfam family: Bacterial small subunit ribosomal RNA
Source: RNAcentral
AACGAACGCUGGCGGCAUGCCUAACACAUGCAAGUCGAACGGGACCUCCGGGUCUGGUGGCGCACGGGUGCGUAACGCGUGGGACCCGGCCCUUAGGUUCGGAAUACUUCCCCGAAGGGGGUGCUAAUACCGGAUAAUUUCUUCGAACCAAAGAUUUAUCGCCUUUGGAUGGGCCCGCGUUGGAUUAGCUAGUUGGUAGGGUAAAAGCCUACCAAGGCGACGAUCCAUAGCUGGUCUGAGAGGAUGAUCAGCCACACUGGGACUGAGACACGGCCCAGACUCCUACGGGAGGCAGCAGUGGGGAAUAUUGGACAAUGGGCGAAAGCCUGAUCCAGCAAUGCCGCGUGAGUGAUGAAGGCCUUAGGGUUGUAAAGCUCUUUUACCCGGGAUGAUAAUGACAGUACCGGGAGAAUAAGCUCCGGCUAACUCCGUG